CGGCGAAGAUCAUAUCAUCUGGUAUCAGUUUCCGGGUUUCGUAAGGGUUACGCUAUCCAUAUAUUUACAAAAAAAAAAAACAAAAACAGAGCAUAAUCAAAACGAUCUGUUGAAAACAAAAAAAAAGAGAAAGCAGUACGUAUUCAAUUUGUGUUACCCAUCUCGGAUUUUUCUUGUCUCUUACCCCGUUGUGUUUUCCUUAAUUCUUUGGUUUCCAUCGCUCAUUGUGG
RNAcentral lists this long non-coding RNA (230 nucleotides) under Salvia miltiorrhiza (redroot sage). RNAcentral describes it as "long non-coding RNA (SMIL_LNC009369)". The record is from RNAcentral. Lineage: Eukaryota; Viridiplantae; Streptophyta; Magnoliopsida; Lamiales; Lamiaceae.